GACAUAUCAGAAACGAUAUUAAAAAUGAUACAAGAAAAUGCAUCAUACAGCCUUUAGAGCAACAAGAGCUGCAAUUAAUGAUGUAUAAUUUACAUGCAAUACCACAGGAAUACUGUGGCAAUGUACCGGCGGAUGUAAAAGUAUGUACGCCAACAAAAAGAGGAAGAAGAAGAAGUAUUUUUAUUGGCAUUUGUCAAUUUGUCACUUGUCACCUGUGUGUCAAUCUUUUGAUUUUGAAGUUGAAGCAUAGAGGUAUAUAUUAACAUAGAGUGAGCCUUCACUCCGCCACCACUGACGACAAGAUCUCUUGGACUGGUUUGCGGUAUCUCUUUCUAGCACAAUGUAUCGAGAAACAUAACAUGAAACUAAGUGGGGGUACGGGACGGCAAGUGAAAUAAGGAGAAUUACCUUCUUCUUUAUUUUUAUUUAUUAUGACAAGUGACAAGACAACAUAACCCAAAUGCAAAUAAUUUAAUCCAGCCCUAUUUCUAUUUUUGAACAAAAUGCUGGAAAUUGGAAAUAUCUUAGUUUAUUUUUAGUUCUAGCUUAUUUACGGCUAGAUUGAAAAUCAGAAUUUUCUAAUAUUGGUUCAUGAUUAUCAUCAGGGACUUGAUUCGGUUCUUAAACAGAAUCAAUGGCUCUCUGAAAAUAUGAUACUCCAUUGGUCACCCCAAGAGGAAUACAACAAAAUUGGUAAAGGCAUCCACUUUCCUCAAAAGCUGUAAAUGGUUUGUCAAAUUCAUGAAUUGGUAUUUGAUGAUACGCGUUUUUUAAAUCAACUACCAUCUGACGUUUAUGAUUUUCGUUUUUGAAAAAAAUGAUGUAUCACAGACUUAAAAUGCGUUUAUCUCAAACACAGUUAAAUUUAGCGAGAUGAAUGUAGUAUACUUUUUUAAAUAAAAAUAUUAACAUAAUAAAAAUUUUGAUUCAAAAAAUUGAACGUAUUAAAUGAGUGCUGAAAGAUGUAUAUAGCUCCGUUUGGAAAAUAUAUCAUUUUUGGUGGCGAAUUUAGCUUUCUCGUCCCAAAAAACCCCCGCUUACCAAAUUUAGUGUUAUUAUCCCAUGCCUGUUAGGAAAUAUUCAAGAAUAAAUAAAAUAAAAGUUUAACUUUGACACCCUGUAUCUCGGUUAUUAUCAACUUUCGUACUAAGGUAAGUUAGCUUAAAUCAAACUAUUUUAACCCCAGGAAUCUAAGGUUAAGCUAUCGCCCAUUCUUUACCAAACACCCUGUAUAUCGUACUAGUGACGUCAUCCAUUUGGAUGUGAUGAUGUAAUCUACUAUUUUUUUAAAUGGGAAUAGGGGUCGAGUGCUAGCUCAUUUAAAAGGUUAUUCAAUUCCAUAUUCAGUAAUAUAAACAUUAACAUGAUUAAUUAUACAGAGUGUCCAAAGAAUUUUUUUAAAUUAAAUUAAUUGACACAAAAAGAAGAAUGAGCUAGCACACGAUCGCUAUUCUCAUUUAAAAAAAUAGUCGAUUACGUCAUCACGCCCAGAUGGAUGACAUCACUAGUAUGUUGUAUACAGUAGAACCCCGAAAAUCCGAACCAAUUGGGGGGACAGCCUGUUCGGAUUCUGAAAAGUUCGGAUUAUCUGAAAGUCAGCCUAACUAGUAAUUCAAAGCUCUCCUGCAAAACGUGUAACCUGACUAUGAGAAAACCGAAGUAAAUUUAUGUUUAACCGUUGAUUGAUAAAUACGGAAAGAUACGAAACCCUAUGCAUUAUUUUGUUGCCUUUAAAACCUGCCCGUAUAGUGGCGCGCCUAGCUUAAAUUUGUUGGAACUAGCCUUAGAGGGAAGUGUAAAAUUCUCCCUACUCAAGGAACUAGCCAAGAACACGCGGUUAUUUCACGUGGCCCGUAUUCAAAAUUUUAACGCAGCAGUCACUAUCAUAUUAAUCUGUAUUAAUUUUUUUUUGUUUUUGUUUCUGCAAAAAUGUUGAAAAUAUAAAUUGACUAUAGAGUUUUUUUCACUACUCUUGACCUCACAAGUAAAUACUUUUCGAGUUAUUUGCGAGUGAAUAUAUUCAUUUCUCAAAAAAUAGUACGUUUUUAGACGGAUUUUCGCAAAUAACUAAAAAAGGAAGUAUUUCACCAAAAAAACAUUCAUAGCAAAAAUACAGCUUAUCAAAAAGUGAAAAAAAUGUUUUAUAUAAAUAUGACAUAUUAUGAAGUCGUAGACCCAGUAAAAGCAGAGUAAUAGCUAAUGAAAAGUAGGUUCUUAUUAUUUGUCAAAUUCAAAAUUGAAUAUUUCUACAUGAAAUAACCAAAAAAUUAAGAACUUUUCGGGGAAAACUCAUCAUAACUUUUUUAAAAAGUUUAAAAUAAGCUUGCGCACAAAAUAAGCUUUUGCGCACAAAAUAAAGUUGAUCCUUUUUUUUUGUAAAAAAUAUCUAAAAAUCACCUCCUAAUUAGCAUCUCAAAUGAAAUUAAUCAGUAGCGCUUCAUAAGUUACUUUACGUAUGUAUGCUUAUUAUAGAGGAUCUGUAAGUUUCAUCGGUUCAUAGUGCUUAUUUUUGAAAGGCUGUAGUUAAAAGGGCUUCAAUGAGUCACUAAUCACGAGUAUAUGCAAAUUCGGAACAGCCAUAUCUUAACCAAUUUUUGUAUUACAGAAAAACAAAAUAUUCAGAAAACCAAAACCUUUAAACUUUGGGAUAUUUCGUAUCACAAGUUAUUUAAAAAAAAGGCAUUUUUUUCAAAAUAAAAAAAAUACUGUAAAACUAAACUUACGAUGAAAUUUACAGAUCGUGUGUAUUAUAAACAAUACAUAAGUAAAGUCACUUGUGAAGCGGUAAAAAUAAUUUGAUUUUAUUCGUCUUGAGGGGCCAAACGAAAAACACAAACUACUUUUUUUCUUUUUAAAUCGUGUGCUGUUGUGAUUUAUAGCAAAUUUAUAGCAUCUCUUUCGAAAUAAAAAUUUUAUGCAAGUUCCCUUUUAGAGGGUGAUUUUCACGCUUUUUUAAAACUAUUUUUACAAAAAAGGACCAACUUUAUUUUCAGCGUAACGUGCUUACUUUAUGCUAGAAACAUUUUUAAAAACAAAAACAAAGCUUUUUAAACACUUUAAAAAAGUUGCGAUGAGUUAGCAAAUUUAUAGCAUCUCUUUCGAAAUAAAAAUGUUAUCCAAGUUCCCUUUUAGAGGGUGAUUUUCACGCUUUUUUAAAACUAUCUUUUACAAAAAAGGACCAACUUUAUUUUCAGGGUAACGUGCUUACUUUAAUGCUAGAAACUUUUUUAAAAACAAAAACAAAGCUUUUUUAAAGAAAUGUGCUUUAUUUUUUGGUUAUUUCACGUUGAAAUAUUCGAUUUGGAAUUUGACGAAAAAGAACUUACUUUUUUAGCUACAACUCUGCUUCUACUGAGUAUAAAGAUUUUAUACAGACAUUUUUUUUUAAUUUUUUAUAAAGUAUAUUUUUAUUGAAUACCUUUUUCGAUAAAAUACUUACUAGUUGUGUUAUUUGCGUAAAACCGUCUAAAAACGUGUACUUUUUGUUAAAAAACGAACAUAUUCACUCUCAAAUAACUCGAAAAGUAUUAGCUUAGUCAAAAAACUGAAUGGAAUAAAACUUGCUACAAUUAAUCAGUUUAUCCACUUGAUAGAUACUAGAUAGUAUUAGACUUAUUGAUCUUAUAGCUACCUAGUCUUAUACAAAGUGGAUUUAGAAAGUCCACAUCUACAUUAGACAACCUAGUGGAUAUUGAAUCUGUAAUUCAUGGGUAAUUUGGAUGUGAUAAAUUAUGUUUGGCUUAUGGCUAUCUUUUAUUAUAUUGUAUAACGCGUGCCAUUUGGGGAUUAGAUAUAAGAAUGCUAUUAAGUUAGUCAAUUCCAGGAAACAUAAAAUUUAUUAGUAAUUUCCUAUAUAGACGAAACUUAUUCGAAUAGAUAACGUCCUUUUAGACUCAAAAAUCCAAUUAAACGACAUUCCUCAAUGGUCUACUCAUUGCACUUUUCCUUAUUGCAAUCAAUGACAUCGCUAAAUCACUUAACCCACUAGUCAUUUAGAAAUUAGAGAAUUGGUCAAACACUACUGGCCUAGAAUUUUCUCCCACUAAAACGAAAACAAUAAUCUUCAGUAAAACUCCAAAGAAGCACAUUAUACUACCAAAAAUCUACCUCAAGAAUUUCUUCUUCUACUUUUUCUUUUAUAUAGGCAGUACUGCCUGUUUUUCUUCAACGGUGCCUUUCAUUCUGUCCCUAAAUUGUCAUUCCAUCUUUUCCUUGGGCAUCCUAUACUUCUUCGGCCUAACGGUGACUUGUCCCUGGCUAUUCUUAUUAUCCUUGAUUCAGACAUCCUGCUUAUGUGUUGAUUCCACUCAUCUUUUCUAUUCUUUACCCAGGUAUUUAUAUUGUCUACUCCACAUAUGCAUCUGAUUUCCUCACUUCUUACCCUGUCCCGUAGUCCUUUUCCAGCAAUCCUUCUUAAAAUCUUCAUUUUGUUGGUAUCCAGACAUCUUUGUAUUUUGCUUGCAUCUGGUCUUGUUUCGGCAGUGUAAGUCAUAACUGGUCUAAUAACUUCAGUCAAAUGACUUAUAUAUUCGGUCCUUUGAUUCCACUCUAAGGUAUUUGUUUUUCCAAAUUGUGUCGUUUAGGCAUCCGGCCGUUCUACUGGCUUUAAUUAUUAGUCUUUAACCUCUUCUUCGAUAUUAUUGUCGGCUGAUAGAUUAAUUCCCAGGUAUUUACUUUUAUUGUCUAAGUCCAAUUGGCAUCUUAUUGGUUCUUUGGAUAUUACUAAGCUUUUUGUUUUUGGGCUGAUAUUUCCAUAUUCAUUUCUUUUGCGCUAAUGUUGAAUUCGUGCAGUAAUCUUUGUAGGUCGUCUUCGCACUCUGCUACUAACACGGUGUCAUCAGCGUAACAGAGUAUUUUUAUCUCUUUAUCGCCCAUUUUUUACCCUCUUUUUUCUUCACUUGUUUUAUCAUUGCAUCCAGCGUUAUGUUUAACAGUAGAGGGCUUAGUGAAUCUCCUUGCUUGAUUCCUGUGUUUGCUUCUAUAUGGGUUCUGUUAUUAUUCCAUUGACUUCAUUUCUAUUUUAUUUCGUACAUAAAGGUUUUCUAUCAGUUUUAUAAUAUCCAGUGGUAAAUUUUUGUCAUAUAGUAGGUGUAUCACGUCUUUUAAUUGUAUUCUAUCAAACGCUUUCUCUAGGUAUAUAAAACAGAAAAACCCUCGCUUGUCAUACUCUAAUGAUUUCUCCGCUAUUUGUUUUAUCACAAAAACUGCAUCGUUAUGAUCUUCCCCUUCUAAAUCCUUGUUGUUCAACCGAUAUAUUUAUGCACGCCAUUAUUUUCUUCAUCAGUAUUUUUGUUGGGAGUUUCAGUAUAGUGCUCCGUAAAUUAAUCCCUCUAUAAUUACUGGGGUCUGCCCUAUCACUUUUCUUAAAGAACGCUAUCAUCUAAGUGGUACUCCAUUCUUCUGGAAUUCUUCCUGUAUUUAUUAUUUUACUUAUCAGGAUAUUCAGUUCUUUGUGAAGUCUCUCUCCUCCGUAUUUUAAAAGUUCAUUAGCUACUCCAUCUUUCCCUGGUGCUUUUCGAUUUUUCAUCUGUUUUAAGGCGUUCGUUAUCUUCCUCUUUAAUUUCUGUUUGCUCAUCCGAUUCUAAUCCUGGUUUUCCAGUUCUUCAUGAUUAGCUGUUUGAUACAGGUUUUCUAGGUAAGUUGUCCAUGUAUUUGUAUCAAUAUGUUUUACUUCUACUAUCAAUUCCUUCAUCUCUGCUGUUUGACCUCUUAUCAUUUUCCACAUUUCCUUUUGCAUCCCGUAUAAGUCGUGCUCCAUCUCUUUUGAAAAUGCUUACCAAUGUUCUGUUUUCUUCCUUCUUACUAUUGAGUUUAACUCAAUUUAAACUCUUUUAUAUUCUUCACAUAUGUUUGUCUCGUUCUUUUGAAUUUGUAUUCUAGCUAGAUUUUCUUUUUUUUUUGGCAUUUUAUUUUUAUUUCUUCACAGAUCCAUGGGGUGUUCUCCUUUUCUUUCGUAUAUGUUUACUUAUCUUACGAUCUCCAAAUGCGUCCGUUGCUGCCAUUUUGAUAUUAUCUCUAAUCUUCCUCCAAAUUUCUUCUAUGUCUUCAUCUGGUGUUAUGUAGUUUUCGUUCAGUACUUUUUGCAGUCUUCUCUGGUAUAAAUCCCGUGUUGACAAGUCUUGUAGCUGUUUUACCUUUAUUCUUGUCUCACAUUCAAUAUGGUUUUUUUCCUGUUUUUUUGUAGAUGUAUUCUGAUUUUUCCAAGUACUAGGUUGUGAUCACUUCCGAUAUUAGCUGCACUUAAACAUCUUAUGUCUAGUACUUGAGAAUGAUGGAUGUUUCUGUUUGUCAAUAUAUAAUCAAUAUCGGAUCUGUGUGCUCUUGUAUUUUUGAAUGUAUAUUUUUCUUGAUCUUUGUGUCUGAAGAACGUAUUGUUUAUUCGAAAUUCGUUCUGAGAGCAAAAGUUAAUAAGUAGUUCCUAAAGAGUUUACAAUAAAUUAUUCAUAAUUGAUUAAAUUCUUGGGAAUAAAACUGGAUAAUCGUCUAUAUUGGUAAGACAAUAUACACUCACUCCGCUCAACUUAAUGAAAAAUAUCUCUCAUAAACAAUGGGAUGUCGACGUCCAAACUCUUAUGACUGUUUACUGAAAUUUGGGUUUCAACCUGAGAUACAGUCGGAAAAAUGAAAGAAUACCCAUGAACGAACAUAUAAAACACGCUGUAUUUUCCUGUCAUCAUGUCGCAAAGAAAAUUGCCCAGCGCAAGUACAUGUAAUAAUAAUUAUUACAUGUACCUGUGCUGGCCAAUUUUUUGUGUGACACGGUGACAGGAAAAUACAGCGUGUUUUUUAUGUUCGUUCAUGGGUAUUCUUUCAUUUUUUCUACUGUACAAUACGCUAAAGUGUUACGUUUGGCUUGUUCUCUUGUAUGUAAUGAAAGCAUGGAUAAUAAAGGCCAGCUCCACUAACAAACUUGAAGUCUUUGAAAUGAGGUGCCUGCACCGAAUGCUUAAAAUAUCAUGGACAUAUUUAGGGACAUAUUGCGAGGAGAACGAUAUACUUGUCGGCAACUGGAACUCGAAGGAAAUAUAGAGGGUAAGAGAGGUCUAGAAAAAGAUGUCAUGGCUGGUUAAUAUUCGCCAAAUGAUAUUAAUGAAAUUACUCUUAAUAGAAUAAUGUAAUCGUGACUAUCUAAUAUCUCACCUGACAAUACAAUGCACGGUGGACGUCUACGCAGAAAUACACGGCGCCUUUAAGAAGUAAAGUUAAUAAUAAAUAAUUCAAUAAUUAUACUUAGUCACUAUUUUCCCCCUAACUCGGAAAAUAUCAACGGCACGAAAAAACUUGGAAGAAAUUGUUGGAAAUCGCGAUUGCAACCAUUCAUGAGUCCUUACCAUUUUUCUCUCGAAGAGUUUAAAGUGGCCGAGCGGGUUACUAAGUCAAUUUCAUUUAAGUAAAUACGUUUGCAAUAUCUCCAAACAAAAUAUACAAUUAUCAGAAGAGACUGUAAUUAACGAAAAUAACUACCUAUUUUUUUAUCGAGAUUAUGAGGCAAAUAAGAAAUGUACAAUAUCUAAAAUCACCGAGUGAGUAUUUUUCUCGUUAAAUAAAUUUUUUAUUAAAUAAAUUAUAUUAUUAUACAUAUAUAUUAUAUAAAAUUAUUAAAUAAACUUUAGAAUAUUUAAUGAUUUGUUUCAAGAAUUCAAAUUAGAAGACAAAUUACAACUACAAAAUUAUUCUUGCUAAUUUAAAAACGAGUUUAGAAAGUAAUACAUAGGUACACUCCAAUAAUUAUUUUAAAGAUUGCCAUUGUUAUCGUUGAAUGAGAACUCAAAUUUAAAUGCAUCAAAAGAAUUAAAUAAUUUUUAUUUUAAUCCGAUCGACCCGACCGACCCCAAAUUCCGAUAACCAAAGCUACCUGAAUACGUCUCAUCGUUGUCUCAGGUAAAUUCAAUCUCGCACCUAGAAAGCUGCUAACGCCAUCUAUUUCUAAAACCACUGGUGUCGUACAUAAACGCUCAUUUAGUUUCGUAUCUUCCAGUAUAUUUAUCAGUCAACGGUUUAACCUUUAUAAGAGAUGUUCAGCAGACAUCAAGAAAUCAUUACUUUUCUAUUCACCCAUUAUUACCCAAAUGUAUACCUCAUUUUAACUACAAUUAUAACAAAGUACAUUCCUCAUUAAUAACCCGGCUAAAACUUACCCAUGGACUUUUUCCAGAGCAUCUACAUAGGAUUGGAAUCUAUGAAACUCCCUUCUGUUCCUGUAACCAUGAGUCCAUCGGGGAUCUGAACAUGUAUUCUUUGAUUGUCUUAAUCAUAGGGAUCAGACUCAAAACUUAUAUUUAGGUUUAAUUAACCUUAACAUUAGCCUUCCAAUUAGCAUCAGCAAUGUUUUAUCUUAUUCUGACAAAUCUAUAUUUAAUAUCUUAAUCAAGUUUAUAAAUGAUUCUAAGAUAAAAAUUUAAACAUAUCUAUAACAAAAUUCUGUGGCAAAAAGACUCUUUGUCUAAUGCCAUCUCUUUGGCGCGCGCGCGCUCCCACACACACACACACACACACACACACACACACACACACACACAAACACAAACACAAACACAAACACAAACACACACACACACACACACACACACACACAAACACACAAACACACACACACACACACACACACACACACACACACACACACACACACACACACACACACACACACACACACACACACACACACACACAAACACACACACAAACACACACACACACACAACCUUUAUAAUCAUUACAUAUAAAGUACCUACGUAUUUAUUUUUAAGAAAUUUUAAAUGUCAAAGUCCUACUAAUCCAAUAUUGUUCAAUUUUCUGGUUAUACUCUAUAUAAUAAACAUGUAUUUAAGUUUUUGUCUUAAAUUUUUAAAAAAAAUUUCACUUUCCGUUAGUUUGGAUUUGCGGGGUUCUACUGUAUGUCAAAAAUAUAUAUGGGGGGGGGGGGGUCAAAAUAUAGUGAAUAACCCUGUACAUCAAGAAAUUUACUACCAACGUCUCUGUUACUGAAUAUAUCACUAAGUACAGGGCAACCUAUUUAAAACUUAAAGAAUCAGCUAAAAAAUUAUACUAUCAAAAUCAUCUGAGAAGCUUUAAAAGUGUUGCAAAAGAAAUUUGGUCCAUAAUAAACAAUCUUCGAAAUCAAACUCACACAGCUCAAACAUUUUCCCUUCCAGACCAUGAAUACUUUAUUAAUGUGAGUAAAAUUAUAACAUCAACUAUUUUGUCACAAGAGAUCAAUUUUGUUAAGAUCCGAUUUCCUAUCUCCCUAAUUCAAGAAAGGUCUCAAAUUCAUUAUUUAUAAGACUAGUUGAUUAAUCUGAACUGAUCCAAACAAUCAAUAGUAUCAAAAGCAAAUCUUCCUGUAGUACUGAUGGACUAUCCAUAAAAAUUGUCAUAAAAAUCUCCCAGAAAAUGUGUUGGGAGUCCUCAUCCCACUAACGACUCUUUUAAGGGGCUAUCCUAGUGUAAAAGAACGAAAUUCACAUACUUUUUUUGGGAAUAUCUAAAAUAAAAAGUACUGUACCAAUUGUUUUGAAAAUUUGCAUGACCAUUUAUUAUAAAAAGAAGUACAAGUAAAACAAUUUUCAUAAAAAAAAAUAAUGAAAAUUUAACGAUUUAUGCCCUAUCUACUGGCACAGUGAAAAUAAAAAACAUGGCUCCACUGCUGCAGUGAUUGGGACUAAUAGAGAUCCUGAAUUAUAAAAUUGCAAAGUGAUUAUUGAAAUAUAAGUUAUUUCCUAUGUCCUAUACCAUCAAUUAGGAUUUUUGGAAAAAUGACAGUGUUGAAAUUUUUUUUAAAUUAGCUAGAACAUUUUCAGUUUCAAAAACCGCCAAAUUGACAUUUUUUAUCCGAUUAAAAAAUCCCUAUUUGAUGGUAUAGAAAAUAACCUAUAUUUCAAUAAUAACUUUGAUAUUUUAUGUUUCAGGAUCUCUUUUAGUCCCAAUCACUGCAGCAGUGGAGCUAUGUUUUUAUUUUCACUGUGCCAGUAGAUGGCGAAUAAAUCGUUUAAUUUUCAAUAUUUUUUUAUGAAAAUUGUUUCACAUGUACUUCUUUUUAUAACAAAUGUUCAUGCAAAUUUUCAAAAUAAUUGGUACAGUAUUUUUUAUUUUAGAAAUUCCCAAAAAAGUAUAUGAAUUUCAUACUUUUACACUAGGAUAGCCCCUUAAGAAAGGUAAAUUUCUAGAGCUGCCUAAAGACAGCCAUCAUUAUUCCUCUUCAUAAGGGUGGUGAAAAAUCUAAUGCCUGCAAUUACAGACCUAUUGCAUUACCACUGGUACUCUCAAAUAGGACUCAUAAUACACAAGUAUAAAAACUUGUUGCUGGUAUGAGCACAUUGUGUAAAUGUUAGGAUUUAAAGAGGAUAUAAAAACCUUCAAUACGAUUAUGAGUGUUAGUCUCUUUAUAUCCUAACAUUUUUUUGUUAUUGUUUUAGUUUAUUAUUGUUUUUUAUGACUCUUUGUAAGUUUUGUGUAUAAAUUGUACAAUUUUCCAUGACAAUAAAGCAUUUUUCUAUUUUAA
This is a long non-coding RNA of Diabrotica virgifera virgifera (western corn rootworm), 10501 nucleotides long. RefSeq lists it as uncharacterized. NCBI's taxonomy places the organism in Eukaryota, Metazoa, Arthropoda, Insecta, Coleoptera, Chrysomelidae. The transcript is spliced from 2 exons. The record is from RefSeq and is a predicted model, not a curated record.